CAGGUACUUCAGGCAGCCCAGGUAACAGGGGAAGACACAUUGUAACAGACAAUAAUCAAGUGUCUUCACCAGCAGUGCCUCAGCUGUUACCUCUGCCAGAGUCAAGCGUAUGCCAGCCUCCACAUGAUGGUACUGCAGGCAGCCCAGUUUACAGGGGAAGACACAUUGUACCAGACAAUAAUCCAGUGUCUUCACCAGCAGUGCCUCAGCUGUUACCUCUGCCAGGGCCAAGCUUAUGUCAGCCUCCACAUGAAGGUACUGCAGGCAGUCCAGCUAAGAGGAGAAGAUCCAUUGUAGCAGACAGUAAUCCAGUGUCUUCAAAAGCAGUGCCUCAGCUGUUACCUCUGCCAGGGCCAAGCUUAUAUCAGCCUCCACAUGAUGGUGAGUGCCCUCUAUUUAAUUUCUAGUGGUUGACACAAGGAUUUUUACUGAGUCAAAUCCGAAAUCUACAUUACACUCUGUUGUCUCCCACU
This is a long non-coding RNA of Eriocheir sinensis (Chinese mitten crab), 473 nucleotides long. RefSeq lists it as uncharacterized. The transcript is spliced from 3 exons. Lineage: Eukaryota; Metazoa; Arthropoda; Malacostraca; Decapoda; Varunidae. The record is from RefSeq and is a predicted model, not a curated record.